This 802-nucleotide ribosomal RNA is filed under the name Hemileccinum rubropunctum. RNAcentral describes it as "eukaryotic LSU rRNA". The stretch from base 251 to 405 matches the Rfam family "5.8S ribosomal RNA". The record is from RNAcentral. Lineage: Eukaryota; Fungi; Basidiomycota; Agaricomycetes; Boletales; Boletaceae.
AGGAUCAUUAUCGAAUUUUGAUUUCGAGGAGAAAGGGCAUCGAUUGUCGCUGGCUGGCUUUUCAGCAUGUGCACAUCUAUGCUUUCUCACCUCGUCUCAUAUCCCACACACCUGUGCACCUAUUGUAGGUCCUNGAAAGAGGAUCUAUGUUUUUUCUACAUCACACACGUCGUAUGUCUAGAAUGUAUUUGAUAACUUGUCGAUCAGGCUUGAUUGUCCUGGUCCCCAAGGUUCAAUAAAACCACUAUACAACUUUCAGCAAUGGAUCUCUUGGCUCUCGCAUCGAUGAAGAACGCAGCGAAUUGCGAUAAGUAAUGUGAAUUGCAGAUUUCCAGUGAAUCAUCGAAUCUUUGAACGCACCUUGCGCUCCUUGGUAUUCCGAGGAGCAUGCCUGUUUGAGUGUCAUUGAAUUUCUCAACCAUGCCUUUUGUGCAUGGCUUGGACUUGGGGGUUUGCUGGCAGCCAUCAGCUCUCCUGAAAUGCAUUAGCAAAGGAUGUGCUAGUCUCUGGACGUGCACGGCCUUCGACGUGAUAAUGAUCGUCGUGGCUGGAGCGUCCUCUUUCAGGGGACCAUGCAUAUGAAUUUGCUUCUAAUACAGCAGCUAGUUACUAGUCGGUCAUGAGCCUGGCGAACACAGCUGAGAACUUUUCGAACCGUUGACCUCAAAUCAGGUAGGACUACCCGCUGAACUUAAGCAUAUCAAUAAGCGGAGGAAAAGAAACUAACAAGGAUUCCCCUAGUAACUGCGAGUGAAGCGGGAUGAGCUCAAAUUUUGAAUCUGGCGGUCUUUGGCCGUCCGAG